AGACUCAGUGAAAUUGAACUCGCUGUGAAGAUGCAGUGUACCCGCGGCAAGACGGAAAGACCCCGUGAACCUUUACUAUAGCUUGACACUGAACAUUGAGCCUUGAUGUGUAGGAUAGGUGGGAGGCUUUGAAGUGUGGACGCCAGUCUGCAUGGAGCCGGCCUUGAAAUACCACCCUUUAAUGUUUGAUGUUCUAACGUGGACCCGUGAUCCGGGUUGCGGACAGUGUCUGGUGGGUAGUUUGACUGGGGCGGUCUCCUCCUAAAGAGUAACGGAGGAGCACGAAGGUUGGCUAAUCCUGGUCGGACAUCAGGAGGUUAGUGCAAUGGCAUAAGCCAGCUUGACUGCGAGCGUGACGGCGCGAGCAGGUGCGAAAGCAGGUCAUAGUGAUCCGGUGGUUCUGAAUGGAAGGGCCAUCGCUCAACGGAUAAAAGGUACUCCGGGGAUAACAGGCUGAUACCGCCCAAGAGUUCAUAUCGACGGCGGUGUUUGGCACCUCGAUGUCGGCUCAUCACAUCCUGGGGCUGAAGUAGGUCCCAAGGGUAUGGCUGUUCGCCAUUUAAAGUGGUACGCGAGCUGGGUUUAGAACGUCGUGAGACAGUUCGGUCCCUAUCUGCCGUGGGCGCUGGAGAACUGAGGGGGGCUGCUCCUAGUACGAGAGGACCGGAGUGGACGCAUCACUGGUGUUCGGGUUGUCAUGCCAAUGGCACUGCCCGGUAGCUAAAUGCGGAAGAGAUAAGUGCUGAAAGCAUCUAAGCACGAAACUUGCCCCGAGAUGAGUUCUCCCUGAGACUUUAGGUCUCCUGAAGGAACGUUGAAGACGACGACGUUGAUAGGCCGGGUGUGUAAGCGCAGCGAUGCGUUGAGCUAACCGGUACUAAUGAACCGUGAGGCUUAACCUU
This 902-nucleotide ribosomal RNA is filed under the name Salmonella enterica. Its description in RNAcentral is "partial 23S ribosomal RNA". It matches the Rfam family "Bacterial large subunit ribosomal RNA", at positions 2029 to 2925 of the family's 2925-position model. Lineage: Bacteria; Pseudomonadati; Pseudomonadota; Gammaproteobacteria; Enterobacterales; Enterobacteriaceae. The record is from RNAcentral.